This 255-nucleotide ribosomal RNA is filed under the name uncultured bacterium. RNAcentral's name for it is "partial small subunit ribosomal RNA". It matches the Rfam family "Bacterial small subunit ribosomal RNA", at positions 26 to 284 of the family's 1533-position model. The record is from RNAcentral.
AGGACGAACGCUGGCGGCGUGCUUAACACAUGCAAGUCGAGCGGUAAGGCCCUUCGGGGUACACGAGCGGCGAACGGGUGAGUAACACGUGGGUGACCUGCCCUUAGCUCUGGGAUAAGCCUGGGAAACCGGGUCUAAUACCGGAUAGGACUCCAUGACGCAUGUUGUGGGGUGGAAAGCCUUGUGCGGCUAGGGAUGGGCCCGCGGCCUAUCAGCUUGUUGGUGGGGUGAUUGCCUACCAAGGCGACGACGGGU